AGUGAACGCUGGCGGUAGGCCUAACACAUGCAAGUCGAACGGCAGCACAGUAAGAGCUUGCUCUUACGGGUGGCGAGUGGCGGACGGGUGAGGAAUACAUCGGAAUCUACUUUUUCGUGGGGGAUAACGUAGGGAAACUUACGCUAAUACCGCAUACGACCUACGGGUGAAAGCAGGAGAUCUUCGGACCUUGCGCGAUUGAAUGAGCCGAUGUCGGAUUAGCUAGUUGGCGGGGUAAAGGCCCACCAAGGCGACGAUCCGUAGCUGGUCUGAGAGGAUGAUCAGCCACACUGGAACUGAGACACGGUCCAGACUCCUACGGGAGGCAGCAGUGGGGAAUAUUGGACAAUGGGCGCAAGCCUGAUCCAGCCAUACCGCGUGGGUGAAGAAGGCCUUCGGGUUGUAAAGCCCUUUUGUUGGGAAAGAAAAGCAGCAGGUUAAUACCCCGCUGUUCUGACGGUACCCAAAGAAUAAGCACCGGCUAACUGCGU
RNAcentral lists this ribosomal RNA (491 nucleotides) under uncultured bacterium. RNAcentral describes it as "partial 16S ribosomal RNA". It matches the Rfam family "Bacterial small subunit ribosomal RNA", at positions 29 to 506 of the family's 1533-position model. The record is from RNAcentral.